This 2861-nucleotide long non-coding RNA is filed under the name Homo sapiens (human). RNAcentral's name for it is "HSALNT0345910". Lineage: Eukaryota; Metazoa; Chordata; Mammalia; Primates; Hominidae. The record is from RNAcentral.
UGCUGGCACAUCAGCUUCACCAAGGCAGGGAUCUUAGUUUUGUUCCCUGAUCAUGAGCAUCCAGAACAGUGCCUGGGACAUACUAGGGGCUCAAUAUAUAGUUCUGGGUUGACUACAUCAGAGUAAAAUGGAUGGGAUCUGCCUUUGUGCAGAGUUCCCCCACGUGGUUUCAAAGGAUUCCAGGAGUCCCUGCGUGUGGAGAGCUGGAUGACCAGAGGGGACUGGUUGGGUGAGCUAACGCUGGGUGUUGCCACAGUGGAAGCUUCAAGGAGGACCUUUUGGGCUGGAGGGCAGCAGUGCUCUGGGACAGUCACAGGCAGACAUUCAACAUCAGUUAGAGACAGCGGGGGCUGAGUCAGCCUUAGGAGUGCUCGGCGAACCUUCUGCCUAAGAUCUGCGGAGUCUGCCAGACACCCCAUCACCCCUGUAAAUUGCCUGAUUCUGCCAGAAGAUACUGGACCCUUCACCUACAUCUCCAGUCAUGAGACUUCCCUCCUACAGGGAGGCUUUUGUUUAGCUGGGCUGAAGUGCUGAGAAAGGGCCCCGGUGGCAGAGGGUCCCAAACACAUGUUAGUGAAAGAACAGCUUCCAUGGACUGCUGAGCAAGUGCUGGGUUCAUUCAUACAACAAUCCUGUCCAGCCUACUCCAAUGCAGUAUGAAAUUCUGGGACCUCCAAGGGAGCAAAUUACACAUAUACACAGGACCACAGUAGCCCUGAUUCACCCAAGAAUCUCCACUGCCACAAAAUGAGGAUACAACAAGGGGAGGACAAGUCAAUAAACAUUUCUCUAGCACUGGGUUAGGAGUCUUCUGUGUGUUAUUGAACUGUGAGAAGGCGUGUAAGAAAGAACAUGCCUUUCUUGUGAAAUGGAUUUUACGAUCUCCACUAUAGAGCUGAAGACCUCCAGGCUCACACCUGUGACAAAUUGGCCAGACUUUUCUGGCACCAAGGACUGCCCUCUUUCAUCAAGUUACCCAGCAGACAAUCAAAGGUGUCAGCUUUCUUCACCAAGGUUUGAUAAUGUUCUAGGGCCCUGGGGAGAGCAAGAGGAGCCUCCGGUAAAAUUGUGAAAUGAGUGAGGUUUGGAUUGGACUCCUUAUAGCAAUCUUCUUCCUACUCGGACAUCCGGCAAGUCCCUUUGCUGACCUCCUUUCACCCCCAGGGCUACUGGCAGAGAAUCCCUGAAAACCAAAAGGGUUGAAGAUGUUAUCUUUUCUAGAGGACACUCAGAGAACAAAAAGGCUUAGAGCUUAAAUUGUGGCAUUUCAGGCUCUAAGAGGGGCAGUGUCUACAAACACCUUAAGUUGCGUUCCCAGCACUUCCCCAGAAGGCAAAAAGAAACUACCUGGAGCACGUUGGAUAUGGGGCUCUAGUUCUGAGACUGAAAAAUCCCAGUUCUCUGCUGAAGUUUGAGGCAUUUAGAACAGCUCCCCUCCCGACCCAAAGGAUGAUUUACUGCAUGGAAGGAGGCUCUUCAGUAUCAUGUGCACAGUGCCACAGCAUUGUAUCUGCCGUCACACCCCGUAUGUUCAGUGCGGCCAUGAGAAAUCAAGGCAUAGGACUGGUGAAGCAUGAGGCACAUGCCCUCCCAAAUUGGGAGUAAAACAAUGUCCCAGGCACCACUACUUUCUUAAACAUUGCUCUGAAAGUGCUAGUCAAUAUAUUUACACAAGGCCAGGUGCAGUGGCUCAUGCCUGUAAUCCCAGCACUUUGGGAGGCUGAGACAGGCAGAUCUCCUGAGGUCAGCAGUUCAAGACCAGCCUGGGCAACAUGGUGAAACCCUGUCUCUACUAAAAAUACAACAAUUAGCUGGGCAUGGUGGCAGAAACCUGUAAUCUCAGCUACUCGGGAGGCUGAGGCAGGAGAAUCGCUUGAACCUGGGAGGCGGAGGUUGCAGUGAGCCAAGAUCACGCCACUGCACUCCAGCCUCGGUGACCGAGUGAGACUCCAGUUUGUCUAAUAUAAAAAUAUGUAUAUAUAUAUAGUCUAAUAUAAAUAUAUAUUUUGUCUAAUAUAAGUAUAUAUUAUAUACAUUUUGUCUAAUGUAAAUAUAUAUAUUUUGUCUAAUAUAAAUAUAUAUAUUUUUGUCUAAUAGAAAUACAAAUAUAUUUUGUCUAAUAUAUAUAUUAGACAAAAGAGUGAAGAAAUAUAAUUUCAACAUUUUAAAAAGGAAGGAAACUCAUUGUUUGUAAGGGAUCUGAUCACAUCAUUGAAAUGUGCAAGAAAAUAAAAUUAUUGGAAAUACUGAAUUCCGUAAGGUUGACAGAUUUUUUUAAAUGCAAAAUUAAUGUCUUUAGACACAAAUGAUCACCACUGAAACAUCCAGAAAUUCCACUUUUAGAAAUCAUCUGAGAAAAUAAUAAGUGCACAAAGAUACAGUCGUAAAAUCAACUUCAGCGUUCAUCAUCGGACAGUUGUUUCAAUGAACUGUGGUUCAUCUAGACAAUGGAAUGCAUAGCCCUUAAAAAUAUUACUGUGGAUCUACAUUUACUGAAAUGGAAAGAUUCCCAUACUAUGGGAUGGUAUGAUAAGCAUGAUAUAAAGUUCUGAAAUUAUAGUGAUAUUAAACUUUUUUAAUACAUUAGGAUUUAAACUUUUAUGUACCAAUAUCAGAACAAAAGGCCAUAAAAAGAUUAAAAUAUAAUGACAAGCCGAGAAUAGAUUGCAUUUCUAUUAUGAUCACUGGUGUAUUUUCUUCACAACACUUACAUCCACUUGAAUUAUAUAUAUUUUUUGUUUUUUAUUAUCUUUCAUUCUCACUAACCUAAAGUGAGGGAAUGUAAGUUUACUGUUGCACACCAGAACCUUGAACAUCAUGAGUAUUUGUUGCAUAAAUUAUGAAUAAAUUCCACUUCUGCA